Molecule: long non-coding RNA, 2531 nt
Filed under: Mus musculus (house mouse)
Lineage: Eukaryota; Metazoa; Chordata; Mammalia; Rodentia; Muridae
Description: predicted gene 45187
Source: RNAcentral
AUGGGUCCUCAUUCUAGUGGGAGGCUCUUACAAAACCAAAACCAGACACGGGAGAUUCUUUUUCUUUUUUUGAGACAAGGUCUCAUGUAGAUGAAACCGGCCUCACUUUUUGGCUGAGGAAGAUCUUCGACUUCCAAUUCUCUCUCUGCCUUUACUCCUCAGUGCUGAGGUUACAGGCAUACGCCGUGACAUUUGGCAAUCACACAUUUGAGAGAGCCACCUGGGAUAUAUGAAACUCGAGGAAGGACUGCUUCGCUUUACUCUCAUGGUGAAUGACAGUGGAAUCCUGACCUGCCUCCAUCUCAUUUCUCAAGAGCUGGGAUCACAGGCUCGUGCCAUCACACCCAGCAUGAGAUGCCAUCUUUAUAAUUGGGUCCGUCUUCACGGCACAAGAGAGAAUGAAGCUGAUACUAGACUUCCCACCUCGAACCUCAUCCUCACAGCAAACUGCUAAGGAUUAACUGCAGAGGUCAACAUGAGGAAAUCAAGUUUCAGAGAGGCCGGACUUCAAGCCCACACAUUAUACAAGAACAUCUGGGCUCAGAAGCCAGAGCGACUUCUCAGAGACUGGCCACUGCCAGCUACCACCUUCUCAGGCUGAUUCCCACUUACAAGAUUUGCUAAGUCACCACCCACGCUCCAGGACACAAGCCUCGGGAUCCCUGAAUGGCGCGAGCACAGACUUUCCACUUCCUCAAGUCAUGUGAUUCACUUAAUGCUAAGGCUGUAAUCAGCAGCCCGCCUGCACGGGACAGCUCGUGGUGACCAAACAUGAGGUACAUUUUAGUAGCAACCCUGGGGCUCAGACUCUAACUCUGGCUGCUGGUCCUGGGGCUCCCGUUCUUUGCUUGUUCUUCUAGGAGUCAGACCGGCCUCACCUGCCUCAGUAGCACACUCUAGGGCUCCAUUAGUACUUGCCUCUCACCCAGAGGGUGCUCUGCUGCCUUAGCCAGAGCAGAGGUUACGUUACACGUUGAGAUGGCUGCCUUUUUAUCUCUUUGGCUAUCUCACGGCAGCAGAAAGCCGAGCAGGCAGGCACAGAGCAAUGUGGGGGUCCGGCAAGCUUGGCAGGCGUGUUACCCACACCCGUGCUGUGGGAGUCAGGCAAGCAGAUACUCACCACCUGACCAUCAGUCCGUGCUCCAUGAAGUUUUUCAGGUUAGGAAGAGUUUGCCUCAAGUCUGGAGUCCCCAGGCCAUGCUGGUAUCUCAGCUGCAACGAAAGAACGGAAUUGAAAGAUGUUUUGGCAGAUGCUAGGCAAUGCUCAGGACGGUGAACUCCUGAACGAGCAAACAUUUAAGUGUACAAAGGCCACACCAACUACAGCCGAGGCACAGCAUUUAAUGGCUCUUCUUUACCAUCACCUUACACCUUGAACUUGAAAACAAUAUGGCCAACCUUAGGCCUUCACCUACUCUUUUCCACUCCCAGAUCUUGGUAAGUGUUUCUAACACCAUAGACAUAACUCAUAGGAAAUCUUCUAUUUAAAUCAGAAAAAGAUUAAUUUAUUCUUAUUGUAUGUGUAUGACUAUAUUGCCUGCACAUAUAUAGGUGUGCCAUGCGUGGCCUGGGCCCACAGAAGCCAGAAGAAGGGUAUAGGAACUUUUGGAACUGCAGUUAGAGGGGGUUGUGAGCCACCAUGUGGGUGCUGGAAACUGAACCUGGGUCCUUGGCAAGAGCAGUAAGUACUCUUAACCAGAGAACCACCUUCCCACCCCUCUUACUUUUAAUUUUGUGUAAAGUGGUAUUUCUGUGUAUGUUUGCAUAAGUGUAGUUGGGAGAGGAUUUGGGUCCCUAGGAGCCACCCUACAUGGGUGCUGAGACUCACACCCUGGUCUUUGCAAGAGCACUGCUACUCCUGAGCACUGAACCAUUUUCUCUCCAGUCCCUCAAAAAAAAAAUCAAAUGACAGGUAUUAGUGUCGCUGUUGACGGGAGCCGCACUCUAGGUUUCUCUACAACGCUCACUGUGUUUUGUGUGUGAGCGUGAGCGAGGGGGGGGGCUCUUGAGGUUUUAUUGCUAGCAGCACAAAAAUAAAAGAAAGAAAAAGUGAAUUUAAGAGUUAGGUAAAACUUUACCAAAAGAUUAAUUUAAUCCAUGAUCAUCCAGCACUCAGUUGAUUUUCUGAGUAAUACUUAAAACAGUUUACUCUCUAGAACUGAGACUCUAAAGGAGACUCCUGUAACACAAGUGAGCGUCUAGGAUGUUCUGAGUGAAUACAUCCAUCAAAUAAGAAGGCAGAAACAUGCUGUUAGAACUAGAAGGUGCCCUGGCAAGGACUGAAGCCAGUGGGAAAUUCCCCAGGACUCAUCGGUGCACACAGAACCAGCGAGAGCCUGCUUUCCACAAGCUGUUCCUUCUAUUGUAUCCACUCCACUGACUGAAGAGAAAAUUGGUAACAGCACUCGGGAGGUCAGGGGAAAAAAUUCUCUUCCCUUCAAACCUAGCUUGGUGACCUAAAUCACCUCCUGAGAUUUGCUAGCCUUGAAUUAUAAGAUCUACUCCAUAUUAAAUGACAUCAUUCUUUGUAU